RNAcentral lists this ribosomal RNA (460 nucleotides) under uncultured bacterium. RNAcentral's name for it is "partial 16S ribosomal RNA". It matches the Rfam family "Bacterial small subunit ribosomal RNA", at positions 338 to 795 of the family's 1533-position model. The record is from RNAcentral.
CCUACGGGUGACAGCAGUGAGGAAUAUUGGUCAAUGGACGAGAGUCUGAACCAGCCAAGUAGCGUGAAGGAUGACUGCCCUAUGGGUUGUAAACUUCUUUUAUAUGGGACUAAAAUGUUCCACGUGUGGGAUUUUGUAUGUACCAUAUGAAUAAGGAUCGGCUAACUCCGUGCCAGCAGCCGCGGUAAUACGGAGGAUCCGAGCGUUAUCCGGAUUUAUUGGGUUUAAAGGGAGCGUAGGUGGAUUGUUAAGUCAGUUGUGAAAGUUUGCGGCUCAACCGUAAAAUUGCAGUUGAAACUGGCAGUCUUGAGUACAGUAGAGGUGGGCGGAAUUCGUGGUGUAGCGGUGAAAUGCUUAGAUAUCACGAAGAACUCCGAUUGCGAAGGCAGUUCACUGGACUGCAACUGACACUGAGGCUCGAAAGUGUGGGUAUCAAACAGGAUUAGAUACCCUUGUAGUC